RNAcentral lists this ribosomal RNA (773 nucleotides) under uncultured bacterium. RNAcentral describes it as "bacterial SSU rRNA". It matches the Rfam family "Bacterial small subunit ribosomal RNA", at positions 8 to 798 of the family's 1533-position model. The record is from RNAcentral.
AGAGUUUGAUCAUGGCUCAGGACGAACGCUGGCGGCGUGCUUAACACAUGCAAGUCGAACGGAAAGGCCCUUCGGGGUACUCGAGUGGCGAACGGGUGAGUAACACGUGGGUGAUCUGCCCUGCACUUUGGGAUAAGCCUGGGAAACUGGGUCUAAUACCGAAUAGGACCACGCGCUUCAUGGUGUGUGGUGGAAAGCUUUUGCGGUGUGGGAUGGGCCCGCGGCCUAUCAGCUUGUUGGUGGGGUAAUGGCCUACCAAGGCGACGACGGGUAGCCGGCCUGAGAGGGUGACCGGCCACACUGGGACUGAGAUACGGUCCAGACUCCUACGGGAGGCAGCAGUGGGGAAUAUUGCACAAUGGGCGCAAGCCUGAUGCAGCGACGCCGCGUGAGGGAUGACGACCUUCGGGUUGUAAACCUCUUUCAAUAGGGACGAAGCGCAAGUGACGGUACCUAUAGAAGAAGCACCGGCCAACUACGUGCCAGCAGCCGCGGUAAUACGUAGGGUGCGAGCGUUGUCCGGAAUUACUGGGCGUAAAGAGCUCGUAGGUGGUUUGUCGCGUUGUUCGUGAAAACUCACAGCUUAACUGUGGGCGUGCGGGCGAUACGGGCAGACUAGAGUACUGCAGGGGAGACUGGAAUUCCUGGUGUAGCGGUGGAAUGCGCAGAUAUCAGGAGGAACACCGGUGGCGAAGGCGGGUCUCUGGGCAGUAACUGACGCUGAGGAGCGAAAGCGUGGGGAGCGAACAGGAUUAGAUACCCUGGUAGUCCAA